UUGACUGGAAAACAUCCCCCUAAAGGUUUUGACUUGGCUUUAGCCUAGAAGGAUGAACAAAGUGACAAGAUCCUUUAGGAGAUAGGGGUGCCCUCUUGUGGUUGUAAUUGCAUAUUUGGUCCUCAUGUGCUGCUUUGUGCUGCAAAGAUGACAUGAUUUUGCCUUGCACACUGAGAGUAGGUAUGAAUCCUGAAGAGCAAUCAUUUCAGGGCUUGCCUCUGUUGUAGUGAUUUGCCCGAGAAGGAAAACAUGUAGCACAGUAAUUUCAUGAUUGAAAUGUUACAUCACCUGAGGUAGCAUAAGAUUCUUCUAACUUGAUUUUGUCUGGUUUAUUACAGUUAUAUAUUUGCACUAACAGCCUUGAAUAGGACAUUCCAGGAGUGACUUGGCAAACACUUGUACCUUUUCGAGGCAUUUGUAAACUACUGAAUCGCUGAGCUCUUGCCCAUCUUGUGCUGUACCUGUGCCACCACUCCGGAACAUGAGUGUAUAUAGUCUGAAUUGUGUGGAAGGUAUUUUAUAUUAGAACUUUCAGAAGCUGGUAGAAAUUGACUUGCCACUUGUUCCAUGGUAAUGUGUCUAAUGCAAUCACUUCAUUUCUCCUCUCUCCCGACACCUACUAUGUUUUUGUAUAUCAAUUAAGCAGUUUUGAUUGUUGUGGUUGCUGGCUUUUGGAGUGGCUGGAUGCUAAAGAUGAGGAUUUACCUCUCUGAGGAGGGGAUAUUGGUAUCAGUGCUUUAAUUUCUGUUAAGGGGGCAAUUUUUGACUUUUUGACUCUUUCCUCAUGAUUUCUCGGUCAAAGUAUUUGUAUUCGCCUGUUCUCUAAUCCAAAAAAAGAAAGAAAUAGAAUUCCUUAAUUCCUCUCUUUUCUCUUUUUUUCUUCUUCUUUUGGUGGCUAAGCAAAGUGCUAUUUGUUGAAUCGCGUAUGUUGGGGACAUUGGUUGGGUGCUAUCAAAUCUUUGGUAAUCACAACGCGGUAUGCUAAAUGAUGGUAAUCAUAAAAAAAAAGAUGAGACUGGGCAAAAUGAUGUUACUUAAAUAUGACAUCGCUAUAUAGUAAAAUUUAUCGUAUUAGUGUAGUUUUGUUAACAAACCUUAAACUACGUAUUAUAAAUUUGGACUGCUAUUCUUAAAUAAUAUGAAUAUUUCUAUAUUCAAUUUUCAACGCUUGACCUUUCCGAAAAUCGUAAGGCGAUACACAUAGAACGAAAAUCAUCUCAAGUUUUAGAAAGUCCAUCAUUUCCUUCUUCCUUCUCUAUCACCCAAUCUCUUUUUUUCUCCCCUUUUUUUGCUGGAAUACCCAUUUUCAACAUAGAGCUCUUAUAUGUAUACCAUUUACUUAAAUAAUUUAAGAAAAAAAUUGAUGAAUAUGUUAAAUAAAUAAUAAUAAAUUAAUUUGAUUGACAAAAUUCAUGUUAAAACUUAAUAUAUAAUUUAAUAAAUUUAAACUCUUGAAAGUUGUGAUCUAAAUUUUGUAGACUAACAAUAUAAGUAAAUGUUUUUAAAUAUGAUGUGUAAGUUGUAACUGAGAAAUCGAUUCAAAGUUAAGGGUACUUAUGCCUUUUCAUCCAUCUCAUGAACCGAACGUCCAUAUUUAUGAGCUUUUGCACUAUGCACAUGCAUGUACACCAGAACAUUUCUCCACCCCACACACCCACAGGAAAAAGGCAGAAGAGGAUUUGACUUCGUUUGAUUGAGAGAAGAAAAAUAUUUAAAAUUUAAAAAUAAAAAGAAAAAAAGGUAAAGAAAGAAAGAGUGAAGGAAAGAGAAAUAUUCAAUCUGAUUGAAUGCAGUUUUGACGUCCGCAAGAACUCUCUCUCUAACUUUCUCGCUCUAAAGAGGACAGCGCAGAAACUCAGAGAAAACUCUUCUCUCUUUCUCUCUACUGAAACUUCUUCACUUUGACAAAGCAAAGUCCCCAAGCUAAUUUGAGCUGUGGAUCUUGUUCUUUGCACUUUAUUGCGCGAUUUAGGGCUCGAUCAAGUGAACAUGUAAUUUAUUAAUCACUUGUUUUUAUUUUUCUACUCUCGAAUUAUUUACUGUACCGAGCUUCGUUUUUUAGAGGAUUUUUUUUUUCGUCUUUUUAUUUCUCAGUUUUCUGAUUUUCUUUCUUGUUUAAGUUUUCGUGUAUUCUCCACUUAUAGCUGCUUUAUUUGAUUAGUGAUUGAGUAUGAAUUUUUUUUUUUUUGAUUUUUCUUACUGUGUUGAGAUUUGGGUUUAGCUAUGUUUUUAUGGAAGCAAGGGAGAAAUUUGACACAAUAAAACAAUUUUUUAUUUUUUUGUUUUUUUUCUUGCAGGGAUAAGUGGAUAGAGAUAUUUAUUUGAGCAGAAAAAGAGAAGCUUUGGAAGUUUAAGAGUUAAAGCUUGUAGCUUGUACUUGGUAUUCUAUUGAUGAUGCACAACAGGUUUUCUCAGCAUGAAGGUUCUCCCUUUGGUUUGGCUCAAAAUAGGGACUUUGGAAUGUCAAUUGAUGUAGUAGGUUCUGCUUGUUGUUCUGUGUAAUUCUCUUUUUCAGAGUAAAGUAUGAAGUCUCCAGAUCUGGGGUGUUAGGCUUCAUUCCGUUUUAGUUUUCUAUAAUUUGUUAAGUGUUUGUAGAUUGUUAUCUAUUGCAUAAAAGAUAUGGUGCCACCAGGACCUCCUAAUCCACUUGGAGGUGCCCAGCCUGUCCCGUCUUCGUUAUUGCGAUCAAAUUCUAGUUUAUUGGGUGGUCAAGGGGGUGGAAUGCCUACCCCAGGUGGUUUCCCUUCUAUUGUGUCACCUCGGACUCAGUUUGGUAACAUGAAUAUGCUAGGAAAUGCUCCAAAUGCUUCGUCUCUGCUCCAUCAGUCCUUAGGAAAUGGUGGUCAUAAUUCAGGGCGAGCUGAUAAUGGGGCCGAGUCUGAUCCAAUGGCCAGUGCUGGCAAUGGUAUGGGAUUUAAUGCUCCUUCAACAUCGUUUAGCUCAUCGGGCAUGGCAGCAAAUCCAAAUUCAGGUCAAGUUCAGGGACAGCGGUUUCCCAGCCAUUCUGGUAACCAGAUGUUAACUGAGCAGUCACCGUCCCAACAGCUUGAUUCCCAGAACUACCAACAUAAUCAACAAUUUCAGCAAUUUUCUGCCCCUAGCAAUUCCCAAACACAACAACAGCAGCAGCAAUUUCAAUCCAUACGAGGUGGAUUAGGAGGUGUAGGACCUGUCAAACAGGAGCCCCAAGUGACCAAUGAUCAAACACCACAGCAGUUGCAAGCACUACGAAACCUGACGACUGUAAAGCAGGAGCCCCAACAGAUACAAAGUAUGAGAGGCCUUGCCACUGUGAAGAUGGAGUCACAACAUUCCUCACCCUCUUUGUUUCUACAUCAGCAACAGCAGCAGCAGCAACAACAGCAAUUACUUCACAUGUCCAAACAGUCCCCUCAAGCUGCAGCAGCAGCUCAGCUUUUCCACCAGCAGAGGCUUAUGCAGCUCCAGCAGCAACAACAGCAACAACAGCAACAGCAACUCUUGAAGGCUAUUCCUCAGCAGAGAAACCCACUUCAACCGCAAUUUCAACCACAGAAUCAUGCUAUAAGGUCUCCUGUAAAACCAGCUUAUGAGCCUGGGAUGUGUGCCCGUCGGCUGACUCAUUAUUUGUAUCAGCAGCAACACAGACCUGAAGUGAGAAAACUGUGCCAACUAUAAUUUCUGUGUGGCCCAUAACACUCUGCACCCUACCACACAGCUUCUCUGAUCUUAGUUUAUUAUUUUUUUUGACUAAGCCCUAUGAUGUUACAUUUGCACUACCUUUUUUAUAGGACAAUAACAUAGAGUUCUGGAGAAAAUUUGUCGCCGAGUAUUUUGCUCCAAAUGCCAAGAAAAAGUGGUGCGUCUCUAUGUAUGGAAGUGGCCGGCAGACCACUGGAGUUUUUCCUCAGGUUGGUUGUGUUAUUGGUUUUUCUUAAUCAAAUUUGAGAAAUCUUCUUAUUUAGUGAAAAUAUGUUGUUAUAGUAAGUCAAAUACCUCUUAUACGGUUUGCCGUUAUGAAAAAAUAGAUUCUUUUUUCAGCUCUGGUAACUAAUUUGGACUUGUUCCUAAAAUGUUAUGCAGUUUUAUGCAGACCAACUUUUUCCUUGUGUAGAAAAUUAGAAGUAAUCACUAUCAUAUAAUUUGCAGGAUGUAUGGCACUGUGAAAUAUGCAACCGCAAGCCAGGCCGUGGUUUUGGUAUGUUUCUUUUGGUUUGAUAUCUUUUCUGUUGUCGAAGAUUCAUUCUUCUUUGUAACUUUACAAAUCCAUUAUUGUUGACUUGUAAUUUCUGCACCCAUUUGGUUAUCCUUUCACCGUGUAAUCCUUAUUGGGGUCUGAUGUUUCUCAACUUAUUCAUUCAGAAGCGACCGCUGAAGUCUUGCCCAGGCUUUUCAAGAUAAAAUAUGAAAGUGGGACCUUGGAAGAGCUACUCUAUAUUGAUAUGCCUCGUGAAUAUCAGAAUUCAUCUGGACAAAUUGUCCUAGACUAUGCAAAAGCAAUUCAGGAGAGUGUUUUUGAGCAACUUCGCGUUGUACGUGAUGGUCAGCUUCGAAUAGUGUUUUCACAGCCUGAUCUAAAGGUUAAUUGAAGAGCCAUUUUGGUUUCAAUAACCAUAGUUGUUAAUCAGUUAUUAAGACAUAGCACGAUGCUGAUUAAUGUCUAUUAUUUUCUUUUAUCUGAUUUCCUUUUCGUCAACUUGGCAGAUCAUCUCUUGGGAAUUUUGUGCUCGACGUCAUGAGGAGCUAAUCCCUAGAAGAUUGUUGAUACCUCAGGUUGAUCAAUGUUGCUUUGAAGUACUAAUUUACCUUGAUCUCUGUGUAGUCAUGGUUUAGCUCUAACCUGACUUGUGUGCUUCUGUUUGCUAAUCUGGUUUAGCAAAAACUCUUUCUUUCUUUCCUUUAUAAUUUAUAUUAGAGCAGAUGCAUGUUGUCUAGCUAAGCAGCUAUUUGCUACUCAAAUGAGGUCUUUAUUUGUUAACGUCCCUUCUAGAUAUAUUUGAUGGGAAGGAUAGCAGUGCAUUGGGUAGUAGUGUUAGCCCUUGCCCCUGGUUAAGGGUUUGCUGAUGCUAUAGUAUCGCAACAGUGUAGAUGGGUGGCGGAAAAAAUUAAAUUGCUGUUUCAGCUGUUGGCAAUGAUAACCAAGGCCACUGGAGCCUGAAUUUUGGUGCUUUAAGUUCUGUGUCCGGAGGAAAUUUGUGCUUCUUCAUGCUGAUAUAUCUUUGUAAAGUUUCCUCAUAUUUGUGUUUCCUGUCCUUCUGUGAGCUUUAACUUCUAUAUUGGUUUCUCACAUCUUUUUGGCUAAUUGUUUGUCUUGUCUGGAUAAAGCUCCAUCUUUAAUUUUUUUUUGGAUAUAGUGAUUUUUGCAUCCUUUUGAUUUGCUUUUAUGAUUUUCACGCGUAGGUGAGUCAACUCGGCGCUGCAGCUCAAAAGUACCAGGCAGCAACCCAAAAUGGAUCAUCUACUGCAUCUGUUUCUGAGUUGCAGAAUAACUGCAAUAUGUGAGUCCCUGAAAUUUAUGGUACAGUUUUUGUACGGAAUUCUCAGGCUGACAAUAUUGUGCUGUGUCUUUGUGUAAUGAAGCAUAACUAUUUUCAUUUAGCACAUAUAUUUCACUGUAUGUUGUAAAGUUAUUUUCUUGGUGAUUCAUUAUGGAUUCCAGUUUUUACGUGGGUGAUAAUGAUGAGCCAUGUCUCACAUGUUAGAUAGCUUUUAAUCUAUUUAUUUUUUGGGUAUUGGCUUCUUUGAUGAUCUGUGCUGGUACUUCUAUUUUACAAAUCAUUAUUAGCAGACUUAAGUUGGGACUGUGGAUGCUAAGGUUGUGAUCUUUGACCAGUCAGUCAUCCUAUGGUUUUAACUCAUAGUGAGUUUGCUGUGAAAUAAUUUUUUAUUUGUGUUAGUUGUGUGUACGUCUGUUAGUAGAUUUAGCUCAAAUUUUAAUGUUAUGGAUUGCUGUUAGUGGUCGUGCUGCCAACUCUUGGAAGCUCAAUUUCUCCUGAAACUAUAAAUAUGGAUGUCUAGUUGAUACCUGCGGUUUGUUAUAUUUGGAUGAAGACCUGAAUUACAGUUGUGUUUGAUUGUUAAAAUGUCUUUAUUAACUAACAUGAGCGUCUUGUUGGGUUCUGAAAGCUCAACUUUCCAUUUCCUGAGACAGUGUACAAUGGAGCAGUUCAGGGUCUGUGAUGUGUUGGAUCUUCCAAUAAAUAAUGAGGAUUAAAUAUAAAACGACUCGUGUUGUUUGUAUCUUUUUUUUUUUGUGUGUGUGUGGAGGAUGAAACACAUCUUCUUCUUGUUGUUGUUCAGUGACUGUACAAUGGAGCUACAUAUAUUUGGGAGCUAUAUGUAACACAUCUUGUUCAGUGACUGUGUACUAGUGCGAGAAGGGGAAGAAUGAGGGGGGGAAACACAUCUUGUUCAGUGACUGUGUACUAGUGCGAGAAGGGGAAGAAUGAGGGGAAGGUAUAUACAUGCAUACCCUUUUAUGUCAAUCUAUCAACAACUAUGACCUAAUCCCAAAAAGAAGGUUGGCUUAGUCUUACGAAUCCAAAUCCUCUGUAACCAUUCAACUCUAUUAAUAAUCUGCUUAUAAAUAAUUUUCUUUUAAUGCAAAUUAGGAUUUCUCUAAAUCUUGAGGUUAUUUACUCACAAUUUUUCUUGUAUUGGAAUACCUCUCUAACUAGACUAAAAGAUUACUGGCAAACAUCAGAAUUAAUGUGAGUGUAAUAAUAAUACCUAAACUAUAAUCCUAACUUGUCGGUGUCACCUAUUUGGAUAAUUUGCUUUCAGUAUGUUCUGUCCUAGUUAAGUCAGCAUUGAUUCGAGAAAUGAUAAUCUUCUGGCAACAACUCCUCUCCAUAUGAUUUUGGGUCGACUGCCCCUUUAGCACCUUCAAUCGUAAUAAAAAAACAAUCUAUAUAUAAGGUGUAAAAUUAUGUGUACAUAUUCUUGUAUUCUAGAAAAUUGUUUUAUGCUUUGCGUAUUUGCUGAUGAUCAUGUAUUUUUUUAUAUAGCUUUUAAUUUUAAGUAAUAUCACUUUUGAGAUUUGACUUAUGAUUUUGACUCAGGUUUGUUGCCUCAGCUCGUCAGUUGGCAAAAGCUUUGGAAGUUCCAUUGGUAAAUGAUCUAGGUUAUACAAAGAGAUAUGUGCGAUGCCUUCAGGUAUGCACCUUGUUCUGAUGCUGGAAGGUUUUUAUUUUGGCCCUUUUCUGGAAUUUGGAGACAUUCCGCUUGUAUCAAUGUGGAUAUCACUACAAAUUCUUGAAAUAUUUGCUUCUGUUAGUGCUUUUAACUUCCCGACCAGGUCAUGGUUUGCCUGUUCUGUGCGUGAUAUCUGACUCAACCAGUUCUAUCCAACUUUCUUAUCCUCUCCGGCCCCCCUCUCCUUUUAAUCUGUCAUCUUCCCGUGGAAUUCAAAGCAAAGCUGAAAAUGAAGGUCGAAAUUCAGAUUUCUAGCAUGUAGCAGCUCAGACAACCAAGAGGUUGUGAGUUCGAGUCACCCAAGAGCAGGGUAGGGAGUUAUUGGAGGGAGGGAGCCGAGGGUCUAUCGGAAACAGCCUCUCUACCCACCCCAGGGUAGGGCUAAGGUCUGCACAAACUACCCUCCCCAGACCCCACUAGUGGGAUUAUACUAGGUUGUUGUUGUAAUAUUGGAAAUUCCUACUGGUAAAUCUGACUCAUGAGUUAAUGUGUGAAGUAGACGGAAUGUAUUUUGGCCUAUUCUUGGGAUAGAGAUUUCUGAUGUAACUCUGUUCCUGUUGAGAAACGUUUUCUUUCUCACUUUUCAGAGGUUACCCUAUUUCCACAAUUUUAUUUCAUUGUGUCAUAAAGGGUCUAGUGGUACAAGAUAACUUCCAGUUCAGCAAUUUUCCCCCUUUUUACUUUCCAAGUGUUUAUCACGUAGGCCUAGACUUUUUUCCAGUGACAUUUUCACUAUAAAGAUAAACUGACUGAAAAUUGCAUACGUGGUGCAUUCAAAUGAUAAUUCUUCUGAUUUUGUUUUAAUCUUCCUUUCAAUUAACAGUCUCAUGGGAUAUAAUUUCUUAUUCUGCUAUGUACUGCUGGUGCAAUUGCAGAUAUCAGAAGUUGUUAAUAGCAUGAAGGAUUUGAUUGACUACAGCAGAGAGACAAGGACAGGGCCUAUGGGUAAGUCUGCUUGUGUACCUUUCUACUUGUUCCUGAUGCUAGCUCAAGGUUUUCUAUACCUACCUAUUAAUCUCAAAGAUCAAAGUGAGGUUGCAUGGGCUAAUCUUUCUGUGGUUUGAUGGUUUAGAGAUUAGGAUACGAUCGGUUUUCAUCACAAGGCAUAAAUGUUAUCAUCUAAAGUUAAAUUUUCACAAAAGACGAUGAAUUGCUUUUUGAGGUGGCAACUGGUAACUAAUAAUGUACAGGUGAAAAAACCCAAACUGGCUGUGUUUGAAUGCAGAUUUCAUUCUAUGUGCCUUUAAGUUGUCAGAGGUAAAAUACUGAUUCAAAGAAAAAAAAAUGAACUUCUCGAAUAUAUAUAAAAUAAUGGGUUGUGUAGUGUAAGAAGUUAACCCUGAGAGUACCGCAUGAAUGUUGGGAUUGAUACAGUUCUUUAAACCUUACAAUUGUGCUUGAAAUUUGGCCUUUCCAGAGAGCUUGGCUAAGUUUCCUCGUAGGAAUGGUUCAUCGGUUGGGGUACAUGAUCCAGCUCAACCAUCUGAGGAUCAGUCUCAGUCUCAGCAGCAGCAGCUACAGUCUCAGCAGCAGCAGCCACAGUCUCAACAGCAACAGCAACAGCAACAGCAACAACAGACGGCCAGUCAGAACUCAAACCACGACAGCUCUGUCCAGGCUGGUGCAAUGCAACUUGCUUCCAGUAAUGGGAUUCCAAGUGUAAACAACUCUUUGAACCCAGCAUCUGUUACUUCCUCUAGUAGUUCUGUUGUUCGGCUAUUGCAUCAAAAUUCCAUGAACUCUAGGCAACAGACCCCAAUGAAUGGUGUGAACAGCCCUUAUGCAGGAAAUGGCUUGAAUAGCCCCUAUGCGGGAAAUGCUGUUCAAAUGCCUUCACCAAGUUCUUCAAAUACGAUGCCACAAUCUCAACCAAAUCCGUCUACGUUCCAAUCCCCAACACCGUGUUCAUCAAGCAAUCCACCACAAACUUCUCAUGGUGGCUUAUCAUCAGGACCACACGUGAAUUCUGCCAAUUCCCCGAAUAUUUCAGUGCAUCAACCCACUCUUUCAGGUGAUAUUGAUGCUAAUGACUCUCAAAGUUCUGUACAAAAGAUCAUACAUGAAAUGAUGAUGUCUUCCCAACUUGGUGGAGGUGGCCUUGUAGGUGGUGGUACCAUGAAUGAUAUGAAAAGUGUAAAUGGUAUGAUAGCAACUGCUAAUAAUUCCAUUCUUAAUGGAAGCAGCUGCCUUGUUGGGAAUGGGACAGCAAAUGCUAAUAUAGGUAUGGGUCCAGGAUAUGGCAACAUGGGCAACGGACUGAGCCAGGCUGCAAUGGCCAAUGGAAUUCGGGCUGCAUUAGGUAAUAAUUCCGUGGCUAUGAAUGGAAGAGUAGGCAUGCCAAUGUCACGAGAGCAAAGUAUGAGUCAACAGCAACAAGAUUUGGGAAACCAAUUACUUAGUGGUCUAGGAGCAGUCAAUGGUUUCAAUAACCUUCAGUUUGACUGGAAAACAUCUCCCUAAAGGUUUCGACUUUGCUGUAGCUAAGAAGGUAUGAACAAGGUGACAAAAUCCUUCUUGUGGAUGUAAUUGCUUAUUUGGUCCUCAUGCCACUGCUUUGUGCUACAAAGUUAACGUGAGUUUGCCUUGCAAGCUGGGAGCAGAUAUGGUUCCUGAAGAGAUCAUUUCAGGGCUUGCUUCCGUUGUACUGAUUUGCGAGAGAAGCAAAAUAUGUAGCACAGUAAUUUCAAGGUUGAAAUGUUACAUCACCUGAGGUCGCAUAGAUUCUUCUAACUUGAUUUUGUCUGGUUUAUCACAGCUACAUAUUUGCACUAAUAGCCUUGAAUAGGACAUUCCAGGAGUGACUUGGCGAACACUUGUACCCUUUCAAGGCAUUUGUAAACUACCGAUUCUGAUGAGAGCUUGCCCAUCUUGUGCUGUACCUCUGUCACCACUCCGGAACAUGAGUGUAUAUAGUCUGGAUUGUGGGAGGAAUUUUUAUUAUAGAACUUUCAGGAGCUGGUAGAAUUGACUUACCGCUUGUUCCAUGGGUAAUGUGUCUAAUGCAAUCACUUCAUUUCUCUUCUUCCCGACUCCUACUAUGUUUUUAUAUCAAUAACAGUUUUGAUUAUUGUGGUUGCUGG
This 10253-nucleotide long non-coding RNA is filed under the name Nicotiana tabacum (common tobacco). RNAcentral describes it as "long non-coding RNA (NTAB_LNC018603)". Lineage: Eukaryota; Viridiplantae; Streptophyta; Magnoliopsida; Solanales; Solanaceae. The record is from RNAcentral.